Molecule: long non-coding RNA, 774 nt
Filed under: Coffea arabica (coffee)
Lineage: Eukaryota; Viridiplantae; Streptophyta; Magnoliopsida; Gentianales; Rubiaceae
Description: long non-coding RNA (CARA_LNC006425)
Source: RNAcentral
UAGAAACUGCACCAGCAAAGCAUGGGUAUGCAAACUUGGCUGGAAAUAUCUGGUGGGUGUGGGUUUGUUUUCAUAGGGCACUAUGGUGAGUCGCUGCCAGUCCCAAGUAAAUGUGUUAUAUGCAGAUAGAGGUUUAUGUUUCAUAGACCUUGGAGGGUCAGGAUAAUAAUGCAAAUGACAAAUGUAGACUAAUCUGCUUCAUGUUACUUGUGGUACUCUAAAUGUCAAUUUCUUCUCAGCUUGUUGUGCUUGUGUUUACAGUAAGCUUAUAAAGAUCAACUUAAAGUUUUGGAAUCAAUUCUUGACUUGUUAACAUACGCUUAAAAUGCAAUUGUUACAGAUUGUUGAACAAAUGUCAGCUGAGCAGAAAAAGAUUCUUCUCUUCUUUUGGACCUCAAUAAAACAUUUACCUAUUGAGGGUUUUGGUGGUUUGGCUUCUAAAUUAUACAUUUACAGGACUCUUGAGCCUAAUGAUCGCCUGCCUUCCUCUCAUACCUGCUUCUACCGAUUAUGUUUUCCACCAUACCCUUCUAUGCCCAUUAUGCAGGAUCGGCUUUCUCUCAUCACUCAAGAGCAUGUUGGUUGCAGCUUUGGCACGUGGUGAUAACUGGAAAUGCUAGGACUUUGAACUGCACAUAAAGAUCUUUAGCCAGCCUGUACAGAAUAUAGAAAUUCAUCUUUUUGUUCUCAUCUCAAGGUUUGGAACUUUGGAUGGAGGUGUUGUUCCAAUUCUGUCUACUUCCAGAAAGGUUGUAAUUUGGUGGUCUCCUCAUC